CGCGUCUGAUUAGCUAGUUGGUAAGGUAACGGCUUACCAAGGCGACGAUCAGUAGCCGACCUGAGAGGGGGAUCGGCCACAUUGGAACUGAGACACGGUCCAAACUCCUACGGGAGGCAGCAGUGGGGAAUAUUGCACAAUGGGCGAAAGCCUGAUGCAGCAACGCCGCGUGAGUGAUGAAGGCCUUCGGGUCGUAAAACUCUGUCCUCAAGGAAGAUAAUGACGGUACUUGAGGAGGAAGCCCCGGCUAACUACGUGCCAGCAGCCGCGGUAAUACG
RNAcentral lists this ribosomal RNA (278 nucleotides) under Clostridioides difficile. RNAcentral's name for it is "partial 16S ribosomal RNA". It matches the Rfam family "Bacterial small subunit ribosomal RNA", at positions 232 to 527 of the family's 1533-position model. Lineage: Bacteria; Bacillati; Bacillota; Clostridia; Peptostreptococcales; Peptostreptococcaceae. The record is from RNAcentral.